AAGCGGUGGAUUGUAGCUCCAUAAACAGAGGUUUGAGUCCUCUUCAUAC
RNAcentral lists this transfer RNA (49 nucleotides) under Scriptaphyosemion liberiense. RNAcentral's name for it is "partial tRNA-Tyr". Lineage: Eukaryota; Metazoa; Chordata; Actinopteri; Cyprinodontiformes; Nothobranchiidae. The record is from RNAcentral.